ACGUGGCGGCAGGCCUAACAUGCAAUUCGAGCGCGAAAACACUUCGGUGUGAGUAAAGCGGCGGACGGGUGAGUAACGCGUAGGAAUCUACCUAGUAGUGGGGGACAACUCGGGGAAACUCGAGCUAAUACCGCAUACGCCCUACGGGGGAAGGCGGGGGACCUUCGGGCCUCAUGCUAUUAGAUGAGCCUGCGUUGGAUUAGCUAGUUGGUGGGGUAAAGGCCUACCAAGGCGACGAUCCAUAGCUGGUCUGAGAGGAUGAUCAGCCACACCGGGACUGAGACACGGACCGGACUCCUACGGGAGGCAGCAGUGGGGAAUAUUGCGCAAUGGGCGAAAGCCUGACGCAGCCAUGCCGCGUGUGUGAAGAAGGCCUUCGGGUUGUAAAGCACUUUCAAUUGGGAGGAAAGGUUCACGGUUAAUAACCGUGAGCUGUGACGUUACCUUUAGAAGAAGCACCGGCUAACUCCGUGCCAGCAGCCGCGGUAAUACGGAGGGUGCGAGCGUUAAUCGGAAUUACUGGGCGUAAAGCGCGCGUAGGUGGUCUGUUAAGUCGGAUGUGAAACCCCGGGGUCAAACUGAGAAAUGCACUCGAUACUGGCAGACUACAGUGCGGGAGACGGAGGUAGAAUCCACGUGUAGCGGUGCAAUGCGUAGAUAUGUGGAGGAAUACAAUGGGGAAAGCGGACUCCUGGCUACAAACUGACCUGAAGUGCAAAGCUUGGAACAACAGAUUAAUACC
RNAcentral lists this ribosomal RNA (742 nucleotides) under uncultured Gammaproteobacteria bacterium. RNAcentral's name for it is "bacterial SSU rRNA". It matches the Rfam family "Bacterial small subunit ribosomal RNA", at positions 33 to 786 of the family's 1533-position model. The record is from RNAcentral. Lineage: Bacteria; Pseudomonadati; Pseudomonadota; Gammaproteobacteria.